RNAcentral lists this ribosomal RNA (951 nucleotides) under Triticum aestivum (bread wheat). RNAcentral's name for it is "partial small subunit ribosomal RNA". The record is from RNAcentral. Lineage: Eukaryota; Viridiplantae; Streptophyta; Magnoliopsida; Poales; Poaceae.
AUGACCCAACUUUAUACUGCUUUAGUACAAAAUUGGAUCAUUUAUUUUAAAACGGAGGGAGUACUUUUUACACGAUUGCCCCAAGAAUAUAUGGGGUUAUUGCUAAUUUUUUUAAUUUUUUUCUUUACAAUGUACAAUGUUUAUAGGCUAUUUUCUUUAAAGUUGUGGGGUCUUCUGACCCCACAGCCAACACAUAGAAUCGUCGCGGUCACUAAGGGACGGCGCCGACGUGUCCGGAACGGUCGGCGGCGACGCGGUCGGAUCUUGGCCCAGGCAUCAGCCUUGGUCCCUGGAUUGCGGUCGGCGCAGUGGCGGGUGGGACACGUCGGCAGCUGGGCGGAUCCGCCGGGAUUCUACCCUUGUCUGGUCAAUGAUAGCGCAGGCAACUCCGGGGGAAACCCUAGAUCUCCUUGGCAUCGAGCGAUGGCGGUGAUUUUGCAUUGUACUCCCUCUCCAUGCAUUGUUUUGGAGUUUGCUUCGGUUGAAGGGACCAACGUCGCCAGCAGCGCAUGCCUGGUGGCGCAACUGCCGAUGAAAAUCGCGUCGACUACGGUCAUGGCGGACGAUGGCAGCAUCUUAGAUGUUGUUCCCUUGUUGAGGCAUGCAUCGACGUUGCAGUUUGCAUCAUCAGGCUCAAGAUGCUCCGGGGCAAACCCUAGAUCUGGGUCUCCCGGAUCGGACGAUAAUGGUGUUCGCAGUAUCGCUUUCCCUCCUGGGGGCAUCGUUUUGGAGCAAGUGAUGGCUGGAGGGGACAAGAGGAGGAGCGGUGUUGCAUCUACCGCAAGGCCAAUGGUGGAUCACGGCGGCAUGGCGCUGCGGAGUCUCGGCGACGGGCGCUUGUGGAUGGACACGUGCAGGAUGGUGACGCUUUCUGACGCUGUGGUGACGUCGACGGCAGGCCUGGCAAGGUUGGUGCGUCAGUAUCUGCUCUGGAGAUGGAUCAGUGGUUGA